Non-coding RNA from Caenorhabditis elegans, 87 nucleotides. Lineage: Eukaryota; Metazoa; Nematoda; Chromadorea; Rhabditida; Rhabditidae. The record is from Ensembl.
CAAACUUACGUGUUAGGCAACAGGCAGCAUGCGGACUUACCUGUGUGUCUGCAUUUCAAUUACAUAAUUUUGUCUAAAAAAGUUUAA